Odocoileus virginianus texanus is the source of this 72-nucleotide non-coding RNA. Lineage: Eukaryota; Metazoa; Chordata; Mammalia; Artiodactyla; Cervidae. The record is from the annotation of a RefSeq genome assembly.
UCCCUGGUAGCUCAGUUGGUAAAGUAUCUGCCUGCAAUGCAGGAGACCCAGGUUCGAUUUCUGGGUUGGGAA